Molecule: ribosomal RNA, 253 nt
Filed under: uncultured bacterium
Lineage: Bacteria
Description: partial 16S ribosomal RNA
Rfam family: Bacterial small subunit ribosomal RNA
Source: RNAcentral
UACAGGGGGGGCAAGCGUUGUUCGGAAUUACUGGGCGUAAAGGGUUCGUAGGUGGCCAACUAAGUCAGACGUGAAAUCCCUCAGCUUAACUGGGGAACUGCGUCUGAUACUGGAUGGCUUGAGUGUAGGAGAGGAAUGCGGAAUUCCAGGUGUAGCGGUGAAAUGCGUAGAUAUCUGGAGGAAUACCGGUGGCGAAGGCGGCAUCCUGGACCGGCAUUGACGCUGAGGAGCGAAAGCCAGGGGAGCAAACGGG